This 771-nucleotide long non-coding RNA is filed under the name Lactuca sativa (garden lettuce). RNAcentral's name for it is "long non-coding RNA (LSAT_LNC006771)". The record is from RNAcentral. Lineage: Eukaryota; Viridiplantae; Streptophyta; Magnoliopsida; Asterales; Asteraceae.
GGAAUUUCAGUGUAACAGACAAAAGCUUUUCCAUCUUUCAAAGUCAGUACAUUAGCUGCAAACCAGGCACCUUUGUUCUUGUUAUCAUCUUUAUACACCUAAAAUCAGACAAACGGGUUGACAAAAAAUCAAACAAGCUGUUAGAAUCAGAAAAGUGAAAUACUAAUUCCCUUACCUCAACAAGACAACCCUCUUUAAUGUUGUUAUCUUUCCAUGUGGGUGAAGUGCUUUGUGGCAUCAUGUCCACGUCAGCAGCAUUAGAAGCAUCACUUGGUCCAAUCUCCAAAUCAGGAACUGCCCCAAUGGUUUUGGUCAAGUCAAUACCUUCACGAAUCCUAGCUGUACUUUUAUCGUUUUCAUAGCUUGUAAUCAUCAUCUGGUUCUUGAACAAAUCAUCAUGUUUCAAAGUCUGAAUCUUUUUAUCACUAGAAGCAGCUUCAACAUUCUGUUUUUUAGAUGCCUGUGGAGUUUUCCAGUAACCCUCGGGACCCGCUUCAACCAAUUCACUUAUAGCCAAGGGUUUACCCAUUGCAACAAUCUUCCCAGCUUGUGAGACAGCUUCAGCUGCCAGCUCAGCAGCUUUGACAAUCGCAUCUAGAUUCUCAGCAUGCUUUGAAGCAGCUGAAGCAGCUUCAAUUCUCUUACGUGCAGCUUCUCUUGCAACAGAUAUGACUGAAGCAGGUGUAGUAGUUUUAUGAAUUUCAGUUCUACUUGAUAACAACACUUCAUCAGCCAUUAACCUUGCUUGUUCUGCAACAUUUGAUGCGAUUU